This is an RNA transcript of Ostrea edulis (European flat oyster), 1612 nucleotides long. It is a transcript of the gene named prostaglandin E2 receptor EP4 subtype-like, with no coding region annotated. The transcript is spliced from 4 exons. The record is from RefSeq and is a predicted model, not a curated record. Lineage: Eukaryota; Metazoa; Mollusca; Bivalvia; Ostreida; Ostreidae.
AAAUACAGUGUACAGGCCACAUCGUCUAUUGAUGUCGAUCACAUGGACUAUUGCACGUCAGAUGAAUAAAUCCAUAUACAGCGUACAUAACGUUAAUGUUGAAUAUAAUGACUACUGGAUGUUGAAGUAUAAACCCGUCUACAAAGAUGAUGUUGUUUUGGCGGGCCGGAUAUCCGUAAGCAUACUGUCAUAAGAGAACGAGAAACAUUCUAAAAAUGAAUCUCUCCAACUGGACACAUUUACUUGUGCAGCAUAAAAAUGAAUCGGUCAGCCGAAUGGCGUCCAUGGCUGUCCCUUCGGUCAUGUUCGCGGCUGGGGUGUUUGGAAACAGUUUGGCUCUUGUUGUGUUGUAUAAUUCUCGUAAAGAACAAAAACAGUCGGUGUUUUAUCGUCUAGUUGGGGCUUUGGCCAUAACAGACCUUUUUGGAACAUGUGCUACAUCGCCCGUCACUCUAGUUGUGUAUGCCAAUGGACUAGAAUGGCAGGGCGGACAACCGCUGUGUAACUACGCUUCCUUCAUGAUGAUAUUUGCGGGACUCUCGAGCAUCUUUACCCUGGCCGCGAUGGCUCUAGACAGAUACCUAGCUCUAAACCGUCCAUAUUUCUACAGCUCCCAUGUAAAUCCUUCUCGUGUGAAGUUCUUGUUCCCAGUUUUAAUGACAGCCGCCCUAAUCAUGGGUUGCCUUCCUUUGAUUGGGAUCGGGAAGAACGUCCAUCACUUCCCAGGGACCUGGUGUUUCUUUGAUUAUUAUGGGACCACUCCCAGAAUUCAGACGUUCGCCUACCUCUACAGCUUGCUGGGACUUACGGCUCUAACUUUCAUUGUUAUUUUAAACUCUGUGGUUCUCAGAACUGUCUGGUCCCUCCACCGGAAGGCCUGCGAGAUUCAGAUGGUGGUUUUCCUGAUCGGGAUUCUAACCGUCGUCAGUGUGUGCUGGGCGCCACUUAUGAUACGAGUGUUUUUGAUACAAACGGGCCUCAAACAGAAGGACGUGAUCCAGGAUUUAGUAUUCAUUAGAAUGGCUUCAUUCAACCAGAUACUGGACCCAUGGGUGUACAUUCUAUUCCGUAAAACUUUUCUCACCAGACUAAUUCAGUUCACCAAAGUUCAUUUGUGUUUAUCGAAAAAAGAAUUCGAUCCCAAACAAUCUGGCGGGCAAGAUCGCGAAGAGAUAAAACGACUGAGGCAUGCAAAGGUAGAUCAACAAUUUAACAGCAAGGCAGACGAACCAUUCUGCAAUGAAUCCACGGGGGAGGCAACGGAGAUUGUUAAUUGUCGGAAUUAGGGACAUUUAAUGACUCGGGAAUAUAAAACAAGCACCCAAUGGAAACUCAGGAAAAGGUCAGUGUCAUCUUCAUUUGUAGAAGUGUAGUGCCACAGGAUUAUGAGAGCAUCACAACUUAGACAGAUAAUUCUAGGAAACUUGCGGCUGAAGAUAUACUGACUGGGAACCCCUCCUGUGGCUUGUACCUUUGUGUGAAGUAAAGAGGAGUCAUCCGAGGAUUGCCCAUUGUAUAAACUCGUUUUUAGAAUCAAUCGUGAAUUGAUCUACAUUGUGUUUCUUCAUAGUACGAUUUAACAAAAGUGAAAUAAAAAUAUCAAGAAACAGCA